GUCAAAUCAUCAUGCCCCUUACGUCCUGGGCUGCACACAUGCUACAAUGGCUGGUACAGAGGGCUGCGACCCCGUGAGGGUGAGCGAAUCUCUUAAAGCCAGUCUCAGUUCGGAUUGGAGUCUGCAACUCAACUCCAUGAAGGCGGAGUCGCUAGUAAUCGCAGAUCAGCAACGCUGCGGUGAAUACGUUCCCGGGCCUU
RNAcentral lists this ribosomal RNA (200 nucleotides) under uncultured organism. RNAcentral's name for it is "partial small subunit ribosomal RNA". It matches the Rfam family "Bacterial small subunit ribosomal RNA", at positions 1184 to 1382 of the family's 1533-position model. The record is from RNAcentral.